This 452-nucleotide long non-coding RNA is filed under the name Glycine max (soybean). RNAcentral describes it as "long non-coding RNA (GMAX_LNC000465)". Lineage: Eukaryota; Viridiplantae; Streptophyta; Magnoliopsida; Fabales; Fabaceae. The record is from RNAcentral.
AAAAAAGUACUUGUUGAAAAUCAACUUAUGUGCAAAAGGUGGAGUAGUGAGGAAAUAAUUUAUUGAAUUAACCAAUUUAGACCUCACAAGUAAUAAUAUACCUUACUAGUUGAAUAAAGUAGUAUUUAUAAACUACAUUGAAAUUUCUUGUUUAUAGAUAAGCCUUCAAACACCUUAUUGCAUUAUAUGCAGCAAGCUGGCUCAAUACUUAGGCCAAAGAAAAGCACCCAUAGCAAACUCUCUUUUGUAGGCCAAAUCACCAUGUGUAGGCAAGCCAUAUUCCUUGAGGAGUCGAUCAAGCUUCCACUCGGGCAUGUCCUGAUAAUCUUUUUGUGUGUAUCUUGGGUAGUGUAGAGGCAUCUGAAAGAAUCCAACACUAUUAUUCUUUUGUGGGGUUUCCAUAUUCCUCUGUGCUUUCUCAAUAGUUUUUCAAGUAGUUACUUAUUGUUAAC